This 253-nucleotide ribosomal RNA is filed under the name uncultured bacterium. RNAcentral describes it as "partial 16S ribosomal RNA". It matches the Rfam family "Bacterial small subunit ribosomal RNA", at positions 524 to 776 of the family's 1533-position model. The record is from RNAcentral.
UACGUAGGGGGCAAGCGUUGUUCGGAUUCAUUGGGCGUAAAGGGUGCGUAGGCGGCGCGGUAAGUCGGGUGUGAAAUCUCGGGGCUUAACUCCGAAACUGCAUUCGAUACUGCCGUGCUUGAGGACUGGAGAGGAGACUGGAAUUUACGGUGUAGCGGUGAAAUGCGUAGAUAUCGUAAGGAAGACCAGUGGCGAAGGCGGGUCUCUGGACAGUUCCUGACGCUGAGGCACGAAGGCCAGGGGAGCAAACGGG